This 524-nucleotide ribosomal RNA is filed under the name uncultured Peptoniphilus sp. RNAcentral describes it as "partial 16S ribosomal RNA". The record is from RNAcentral. Lineage: Bacteria; Bacillati; Bacillota; Tissierellia; Tissierellales; Peptoniphilaceae.
CACGUAGUUAGCCGGGGCUUUUUUCUUGAGGUACCGUCAUUAUCUUCCCUCAUAAAAGAGCUUUACGACCCGAAGGCCUUCUUCGCUCACGCGGCGUCGCUGCAUCAGGGUUUCCCCCCAUUGUGCAAUAUUCCCCACUGCUGCCUCCCGUAGGAGUUUGGACCGUGUCUCAGUUCCAAUGUGGCCGGUCACCCUCUCAGGCCGGCUACUGAUCGUCGCCUUGGUGGGCCGUUACCUCACCAACUAGCUAAUCAGCCGCGAGUCCAUCUUUGACCGAAUUUCUUUGACUAAUUGAUCAUGUGACCAGUUAGUGUCAUUUGGUAUUAAUCCCAGUUUCCCGAGGCUAUCCCAAUGUCAAAGGCAGGUUACUCACGUGUUACUCACCCGUCCGCCGCUAAUCCAUUUCAUCUUCACCCCGAAGGGUUCUGUCGAAAUUUCAUCGCUCGACUUGCAUGUGUUAAGCGCGCCGCCAGCGUCGUCCUCGUGUCCAGGAGUCAACCUACCUACUUACGAGUACCUGUACC